GAUGAACGCUGGCGGCGUGCUUAACACAUGCAAGUCGAACGGGAAUUACUUUAUUGAAACUUCGGUCGAUUUAAUUUAAUUCUAGUGGCGGACGGGUGAGUAACGCGUGGGUAACAUGCCUUAUACAGGGGGAUAACAGUCAGAAAUGGCUGCUAAUACCGCAUAAGCGCACAGAGCUGCAUGGCUCAGUGUGAAAAACUCCGGUAGUAUAAGAUGGACCCGCGUUGGAUUAGCUUGUUGGUGGGGUAACGGCCCACCAAGGCGACGAUCCAUAGCCGGCCUGAGAGGGUGAACGGCCACAUUGGGACUGAGACACGGCCCAGACUCCUACGGGAGGCAGCAGUGGGGAAUAUUGCACAAUGGGGGAAACCCUGAUGCAGCGACGCCGCGUGAAGGAAGAAGUAUCUCGGUAUGUAAACUUCUAUCAGCAGGGAAGAUAGUGACGGUACCUGACUAAGAAGCCCCGGCUAACUACGUGCCAGCAGCCGCCGUAA
This 494-nucleotide ribosomal RNA is filed under the name uncultured bacterium. RNAcentral describes it as "partial 16S ribosomal RNA". It matches the Rfam family "Bacterial small subunit ribosomal RNA", at positions 28 to 523 of the family's 1533-position model. The record is from RNAcentral.